This 433-nucleotide ribosomal RNA is filed under the name uncultured bacterium. Its description in RNAcentral is "partial 16S ribosomal RNA". It matches the Rfam family "Bacterial small subunit ribosomal RNA", at positions 29 to 507 of the family's 1533-position model. The record is from RNAcentral.
AACGAACGCUGGCGGCAGGCCUAACACAUGCAAGUCGAGCGAGGACUUCGGUUCUAGCGGCGGACGGGUGAGUAACGCGUGGGAAUGUGCCCUUCUCUACGGAAUAGCCCUGGGAAACUGGGAUAAUUCCCUUAUAGGCCCUUUGGGGGAAAGAUUUAUCGGAGAAGGAUCAGCCCGCGUUGGAUUAGGUAGUUGGUGGGGUAAUGGCCUACCAAGCCGACGAUCCAUAGCUGGUUUGAGAGGAUGAUCAGCCACACUGGGACUGAGACACGGCCCAGACUCCUACGGGAGGCAGCAGUGGGGAAUCUUAGACAAUGGGGGCAACCCUGAUCUAGCCAUGCCGCGUGAGUGAUGAAGGCCUUAGGGUUGUAAAGCUCUUUCAGCUGGGAAGAUAAUGACGGUACCAGCAGAAGAAGCCCCGGCUAACUCCGUG